UCCGGGGCCACGUUGUUACCUGACCAGGUGGAAGAUGAGCACCAGGCUGUCCGCGACCCUCUGACUGGACCGGACGAUGAACACGUACAGGUAGACGGCGAUGGCCACGGUCCAGAAGAAGGAGCUGGUGUUGGCGAAGGUGGACACGGCUCCUUGCACGACGCACUCCAGCGAGUCGCUGCGGAAAACGCUCCACACUCCGACGGCGUAGGAGACGGCGGAGAGCCAGUCCGACACGGAGAGGAAGACCAGCAGCCUGCGGGGGGUGGUGCGUAAAUCUGCCCACAGGACGUAGGUGAGGAUGAUCAGCGACGAGCCCAGGAAGGAGAGCGCGCACGAGCACAGCACGACCACCUGCUCGGAGAAGUAAACAACUGUCUCGUUCCCGCUCGCCAUGGUUUGUUGUGCUGUGGUUACGAGCUGCUGUCACCUCAUGGACAUCUGUUUGGGAACAGUCCCCGUGCGCACUAAUCCAUCACGGUGCGCACUUUGGAUGAACACCGGCGCGCCACUGGCCUCCUUCCAGACCAGGACCCUUUUUGAACUCGGGGUCCAGUCGAGCCAAGUGACUCAACAAAGUUAUUUAAUAGUUUUUCAUGUAGCCAAACAAGUCUUUCUCCCUACAGCCUUUAAGCCCUGCCCCCGCCUCCUCGCUCCUUCCUCCCCGCCUCCUCGAUGCGUCAACCCGGAACCAAAGCAGAAGUUGGAGUCAGCUGCUGGUGGGCAGACUGGCAAAUUGCUCAAGGAGGAUAGUGAGAGCAUGUGCUGCAUACUUUUUCAGCAGAGGAGGGAUCAUCGACUUCCGUCUUAUCAGGCACGAGGUGCAACAAAGCUGAGUUAGUGCUCAUCUGAGGGGGAAAAGGUUAUCUGUCAAGCACGGACA
Molecule: long non-coding RNA, 883 nt
Organism: Pleuronectes platessa (European plaice)
Lineage: Eukaryota; Metazoa; Chordata; Actinopteri; Pleuronectiformes; Pleuronectidae
Exons: 3
Source: RefSeq, a predicted model, not a curated record